AACGAACGCUGGCGGCAGGCCUAACACAUGCAAGUCGAGCGCCCAGCAAUGGGAGCGGCGCACGGGUGAGUAACACGUGGGAACGUGCCCUUUGGUUCGGAAUAACGCAGGGAAACUUGCGCUAAUACCGGAUAAGCCCUACGGGGGAAAGAUUAUCGCCAUUGGAGCGGCCCGCGUCUGAUUAGCUAGUUGGUGAGGUAACGGCUCACCAAGGCAACGAUCAGUAGCUGGUGAGAGAACGACCAGCCACACUGGGACUGAGACACGGCCCAGACUCCUACGGGAGGCAGCAGUGGGGAAUCUUGGACAAUGGGGGAAACCCUGAUCCAGCCAUGCCGCGUGAGUGAUGAAGGCCCUAGGGUUGUAAAACUCUUUCGGCGGGACGAUAAUGACGGUACCCGCAGAAGAAGCUCCGG
Molecule: ribosomal RNA, 416 nt
Filed under: uncultured bacterium
Lineage: Bacteria
Description: bacterial SSU rRNA
Rfam family: Bacterial small subunit ribosomal RNA
Source: RNAcentral